This 229-nucleotide long non-coding RNA is filed under the name Lathyrus oleraceus (garden pea). Its description in RNAcentral is "Pisum sativum (pea) long non-coding RNA (PSAT_LNC012655)". Lineage: Eukaryota; Viridiplantae; Streptophyta; Magnoliopsida; Fabales; Fabaceae. The record is from RNAcentral.
AUCACUCUUGCUGCUUGAUCAAGGUACCACUCUUUUGCCUUUCCCACUAAGGAGUGUGGGAACAUCCUCUUGAAUAGUGCCUCUUCACCCGCUUUGUCUAUUCCUGUAGAACCCGCAAUCUCAUAAAAUUUGAUGAGAUGGGUGUACGGAUCUUCAUGAUCCAUUCCGGUGAAUGGAUUUGCGUAGAGAAGUUGGAGGAUUCCGGUCUUCAUCUCCGUAUUUCUUCCUC